GAUGAAGAACGUAGCGAAAUGCGAUAAGUAAUGUGAAUUGCAGAAUUCAGUGAAUCAUCGAAUCUUUGAACGCACAUUGCGCCCCUUGGUAUUCCGAGGGGCAUGCCUGUUCGAGCGUCAUUAUAACCCCUCAAGCUCAGCUUGGUGUUGGGGCCUGCUGCACUGGCAGCCCUUAAAAUCAGUGGCGGCGCCAUCUGGCUCUAAGCGUAGUAAUUCUUCUCGCUAUGGAGUCCUGGUGGAUGCUUGCCAUCAACCCCCAAUUUUUCUAUGGUUGACCUCGGAUCAGGUAGAGAUACCCGCUGAACUUAAGCAUAUCAAUAAGCGGAGGA
This 329-nucleotide unclassified non-coding RNA is filed under the name soil metagenome. RNAcentral describes it as "partial contains 5.8S ribosomal RNA, internal transcribed spacer 2, and large subunit ribosomal RNA". The stretch from base 1 to 120 matches the Rfam family "5.8S ribosomal RNA", at positions 35 to 154 of the family's 154-position model. The record is from RNAcentral.